This 77-nucleotide transfer RNA is filed under the name Gemmatimonadota bacterium. Its description in RNAcentral is "Gemmatimonadetes bacterium tRNA-His". It matches the Rfam family "tRNA". From Rfam's summary of the family: Transfer RNA (tRNA) molecules are approximately 80 nucleotides in length. Their secondary structure includes four short double-helical elements and three loops (D, anti-codon, and T loops). Further hydrogen bonds mediate the characteristic L-shaped molecular structure. tRNAs have two regions of fundamental functional importance: the anti-codon, which is responsible for specific mRNA codon recognition, and the 3' end, to which the tRNAs corresponding amino acid is attached (by aminoacyl-tRNA synthetases). tRNAs cope with the degeneracy of the genetic code in two manners: having more than one tRNA (with a specific anti-codon) for a particular amino acid; and 'wobble' base-pairing, i.e. permitting non-standard base-pairing at the 3rd anti-codon position. The record is from RNAcentral. Lineage: Bacteria; Pseudomonadati; Gemmatimonadota.
GAGGGUGUAGCUCAGCUGGUUAGAGCGCUUGACUGUGGAUCAAGAGGUCGGGAGUUCAAAUCUCCUCUCCCUCCCCA